RNAcentral lists this ribosomal RNA (447 nucleotides) under uncultured bacterium. RNAcentral's name for it is "partial 16S ribosomal RNA". It matches the Rfam family "Bacterial small subunit ribosomal RNA", at positions 29 to 523 of the family's 1533-position model. The record is from RNAcentral.
AGCGAACGCUGGCGGCAGGCCUAACACAUGCAAGUCGAGCGCCCAGCAAUGGGAGCGGCAGACGGGUGAGUAACGCGUGGGGAUGUGCCCAAUGGUGCGGAAUAACCCAGGGAAACUUGGAUUAAUACCGCAUGUGCCCUUCGGGGGAAAGAUUUAUCGCCAUUGGAUCAACCCGCGUCUGAUUAGCUAGUUGGUGAGGUAAAGGCUCACCAAGGCGACGAUCAGUAGCUGGUCUGAGAGGAUGAUCAGCCACACUGGGACUGAGACACGGCCCAGACUCCUACGGGAGGCAGCAGUGGGGAAUAUUGGACAAUGGGCGCAAGCCUGAUCCAGCCAUGCCGCGUGAGUGAUGAAGGCCUUAGGGUUGUAAAGCUCUUUCGCCGGUGAAGAUAAUGACGGUAACCGGAGAAGAAGCCCCGGCUAACUUCGUGCCAGCAGCCGCCGUAA